Molecule: RNA transcript, 6113 nt
Organism: Alosa sapidissima (American shad)
Lineage: Eukaryota; Metazoa; Chordata; Actinopteri; Clupeiformes; Clupeidae
Gene: fnbp1b
Gene name: formin-binding protein 1
Exons: 20
Source: RefSeq, a predicted model, not a curated record
GUGUGUUUGGGUCACUAAGCACCCCUCUUUAACCUUAUCUGGCCCGGACCAUGCCGGCUCUGAUUUCACGGUCCAACCCCGCCUUGUGCUUUUUAUAGCCUUCAUCCAAUCACAUCGGAUGCCUCUUGUCUGCCGAGCUGCUUGUCGAAGUAACCCCUGUGGAUCUUAAUCACAAUAUUUCUGCUCGUAUUUUGAUUUGCGGUUAUAUUUCUUUUUUUUUUUAACUUUUUCAUGGUUUUAUUGCUUUUUUCGUGGAGGAAUUUUUGGCCACGACUGUGGCUGGGAUAGAUUUAGUUGGAUUUCUUUGUUUCUCACCAUCUUCUUGGAUGUGAAACCUGAUCUACAGAUGCAUUGACCAUAUCUGAGCACCUUCACUAGCAGAACUCCCCGCCUGUGAACUAGACCGAGCCUUAAUCACAUUUUCUGGGCUCUGACCUGACCCACCGUAUCCUUGGCCGAUGUGGUAGAGCGAUCUCUACUAAACUGGACUGGACUGGACCUGGCAGUGUGCGGGGUACCCGCUUAGGGGAGAGAGGUUCUGCUCUGGUUUUGUCAUUUUGAUUGGACUGAGUCAAGAGGGUGCUCUAAUCUCAGAGCUGGUUCUGGGACAAAAGUGGAGGUGGGGGACUGCGAGCCACUUCCCCUGCUGUGGAAACUGGGUUACCAUGCUGCCCGCACAAAGGAAGGAUCAGUUUGAUAACUUGGAGAAGCACACACAGUGGGGUAUCGACUUUGUGGAGAGGUACACCAAAUUUGUCAAAGAGAGGUCGGAGAUAGAGCUCAACUAUGCAAAGCAGAUUAGGAAUCUUUCAAAGAAAUACCAGCCGAAGAAGAACUCCAGAGAGGAGGAGGAGAACAAGUACAGCUCGUGCCGGGCCUUCCUGUCCACGCUGAACGAGCUCAAUGACUAUGCGGGCCAGCACGAGCUGGUGUCGGAGAAUCUGACGGCGCAGAUCAUUGCCGAGCUCGGGAAGUACACGCAGGAGCUCAAGUCGGAGAGGAAGACGCAUUUCCAUGAUGGACGGAAGGCUCAGCAACAUAUUGAAAACUCCUGGAAGCAGCUGGAAUCAAGCAAGAGGCGCUUUGAGAGAGACUGCAAGGAGGCGGACAGAGCCCAGCAGUACUUUGACAAGAUGGACGCCGACAUCAACGUAACGAAAGCAGACGUGGAGAAGCGAUGUUACAAUAAGGCGAGGCAGCAAGCUCAAAUGAGACACCAGAUGGCUUCAGACAGUAAGAAUGAAUAUGCAGCUUACCUGCAGAAAUUCAACCAGGAGCAAAAUGACCAUUACUACUCCAUCAUCCCCACCAUAUUUCAGAAAAUCCAGGACAUGGAGGAGAGGAGGAUUGAGCGGUUGGGAGAGUCCAUGCGCACCUUCGCUGAGGUGGACCGCACCAUCCUGCCCAUCGUGGGCAAGUGCCUAGACGGCAUGACUAAAGCUGCAGAAUCAAUUGAGGCCAAGAAUGACUCCAAGCAGGUGGUGGACUCAUUCAAGUCGGGCUUUGAGCCCCCGGGCGAUGUGGAGUUUGAAGACUACGGCCAGGCGAUGAAGAGGGCCGUCUCGGAGACCAGCCUGUCCAACUCGCGCGGCGAGAGCAAGCCCGAAAAGUCGGCCAAGCGACCGGGCAAACUGUGGCCUUUCAUCAAGAAGAACAAGCUUAUGUCCCUGUUAACGUCCCCGCACCCCCCCCAGCCGCCCCCGGCACCCCCUUCCUCCUCCCCCUCCUCCUCCUCCUCCUCCUCCACCUGCCCCCGCCCCUCCUCACCUUCUGCUGUUCCCAACGACCCCCAGUCACCCAAGCAGCCGCGCGAGCCCCUGGGCCACCGCCUCAACGACCUCAUGACCUCCAAAUCCAAAAUGCACUGCCUCCGGAGCCUCAAGCGAGGGUCUCCUCGCUCUCUUUAUUACAACAAAGAGCUGAUGAAGCGGACUCUGGGCAGGCCUACAUACGCUUUCGAGGCCAGACAAUAUGUCCUUUCUCUCAAGCUGCUCACACUCAAUUCCCACAUGCGGAGUCUGAUUGAGGGCUCUGGACCAGAGGACUUCAGCCACCUUCCACCAGAGCAGAGGAGGAAGAAGCUCCAGGCUAAGAUAGACGACAUCAACAAAGACAUUCAGAAGGAAAUGGAUCAGAGAGAUGCUUUGACAAAGAUGAAGGACGUGUACAUUAAGAACCCUCAGAUGGGCGACCCCACAAGUCUAGACCCCCGACUGGGUGAGAUCGCUCAAAACAUCGACAAGCUACAGGCAGAGGCUCAGAAGUUUGAGGGAUGGCUUGCCGAGGUUGAGGGCAGAUUGCCAGUGAAAAGUGACCCACCCAAGAGGCAAAGCGUAGUAUUCGAGACUCAGAACAACGCACCCGUUACAGUUACCAACAACUGUGCACAGGACAGAGAAAGCAGCCCAGAUGGCAGUUACACAGAGGAGCCCAGCUCCGAGCCGCCGGUGAAAGCAGCCGACCCAGAGUUUGAUGAUGAGUUUGAGGAAGAAGAGACCUUGCCCACCAUAGGCACCUGCAAGGCCCUGUACCCCUUUGACGGCACGAAUGAGGGCACCAUCUCAGUAGCAGAGGGCGAGUUGUUGUAUGUGAUCGAGGAAGAUAAAGGCGAUGGCUGGACGCGUGUGCGCAGGAACGAGGAGGAGGAGGGAUAUGUGCCCACCUCUUAUGUGGAAGUCUUUCUGGACAAUAACACCAAAGGUUUCAAGACUUAUAUUUAAUCUGUUUAUUCAGUUUACUGUUGAGGGGGUAAACUAAACAUCUCUUUUGCCCUAAGUGUAUUUAAUGUGUGUGUGAGAGAGAGAGAGUAUGUGUGUUUGGGACAUGUUUGUAAGUCAACAAAAAGCUACUAAGUUCACAGCAACAUAUUAUAUGAGCUGUGCACAGUCCCUCUCUGCAGUUCUUCCAAGGUGCCAGUAGAGGGUGCCCCAGACCAAAACCUAAAGAGCUCUGAACUUUGGGGCAUGCUCCUGCGUCUCAGGAACCAAACACUGGACACAGCCCCACAUUUCUGAAAUGUCACUGGUCACCAGUAGCCGCAGCUGGAGAGCUUGUUUUAGACAGGCAGGUAACUGUGAGUUUGCCAGACUGGUCUGUCUGUUUUGACUGGAAUGUGUUUCGGUAUGCAUCUAAAAGGAUACAUGGUUACGAUAGAAGUGUGAGAUAUAUCAGCGAACAGAUUCUUGUCCACUCUCAUGUGAGAUUGACCAGUGGCUUGCCUGAAAACUCAUGAGGUUGCAUGUCGGCAUGAGUUCAGUGUGUGCAUAUCAAGUCAAUCUUCCUUUCUUGCUAAAAGACUGUAAAGUCUAGAAUAGUCAUGAUGCUCAAUAUGGAAUGUUACAGCAAGAACUGAACUGUGUCAUCCCCAUGACGAUGAGCUUGUUUUUAAAUAUUUAGCUAAACGUGUAAAGGGUCUGAAUUUUCAUGUUUAUAAACUAAGAUGUGAAGAGCUAAACAGAAGUGCUGGUCUCAGGCAUAAUGGGAAUAUUUGGGAAUAUCCCCCUGAUGUGUUUCAGAGCCAUGGAGGGACUGGUGACCGGGGCUUAGCCGAUUCCUAAAAGAGUGUGAUGGCUCGGUGGAAGAUGGAGGAAAAGCUGCCUGAGAUAAACACUGCACUCAGAAAAGUGUACAGGAGAGAUGGAGUGAGAGAAUGACGGAGGGGAAGAGAUGAAGAGAGCUGAUAAAAGAGGAAUAGCUGAUUUUUUUUAAGCUUUGAUACUCCGAUCUAUUUUCUUUUUCUGAAUCUCUCGUGUGUCAGUGUGUAGCUGGCACCGUAAAAAGAAAAAAACAACCUGGGUCAAAAUCAGAAUCAAAAAUCAAAAACAAAGUCAGCUCUCAUACAUGUUUUAUAAAAUGUUUCAUUGUUUUUUUGUCUUCAGUUCAGCUCUGGUGUCUGUUACACGUGUUCUGUCGUCACGCUGUGUGUUGUCCAGUUGCGCUGGUGUUUGCACAGUUCGUCACACACAUUGUACUGUUCUGCUGCUCCUGCUCUUUGAUACCUUGGUUUUUGUGACCCUUGGAAAAACAGGGCCGUGGAGGCUGUCCAGGUAGGAUCAGUCAUCGCCACAGGGGGGCGCCAUUGCAUAUGCAUGCAGACGACUCACUUCUCUGCUCUCCUGUCUCUUCCUCUCAUUUUUUACUCACUCUGUUCAGUUUGGUCUUGCAAGAGUAUGCCACGGCGAGAGACGUCAUGAGGGUAAAUUAUUAAAUCCCACCCUAGAACUUUCUGGAACUGGAAACAAACUUCAUGUUUAGCUGGAGGCCAUAAGUCGGCACACACAGAAAGAGUCCAUAACAGCUUUGGAAUGACGGGUGUCGUUUCUAAAACCGAACAACAAUGUGUAGUGUGCCAGUGGGAUCCACAGUUGGGCCCUCUGGUUGUGCCAUCUCCUUCAUGCCAGGGUCGGGAUUAUUUCUUCCCAUGUUCUCCAGUUCUCCUUCUGUUAUCAGUUUAGCUUCACACUCAUAAAUACAUCCCUCUAUCCAGCUGGCUCAGUUUUCUUUCAGGUUAGGUUCACUUUUAACCUUAGUUUGUUUUGCUCUCCCUUCAGUUUUAUUUGCUUAUAGGCAUCACCACUUAAUCACAAGAACCUUGGCCACAAUCAUCAGGGUUUGCAUCUCUGUUUCUUGUUUCCUUUGUCUAUAAUGUAUACAUUGUAUGCAUUAACUACAGAUGUACUGUGAGUGAAUAUGAACAGGUAAUUUGUGAUACGCGUGUGUUGGCGUAUGACCUGCUUCUGUUUUGGGUUUAUCGGGGGGCCAAUUUACAGAUUGACCUUCACAACCUGGCUACUGUUCAGCAGUGUCUAUCUAGCAGUUGAGUCCAUGCACACAUUUUCUACACAGUGAACCUGUGACCAUGAUCACCACAUCAAGCCUUAAAGGGGCAUGAAUGAGAGAUAGAACCAGACUCCCAUUUUAUGAAUGCCAUGCAAUGUUAUGAUCUGUGGUAUAAUUUUUUUAACAGUGCGUUUGUUCCAUUAGUGGUGAGUUGCUCUCUGUCCUCUUACAUCUCUUGAAGGGAUGUGAACAUUUUAGAUUCACAUCGGUUCUUUGAUGGAUGAUGGACUGUCUUAUGUUACUUUGGGGCAAAAGAGAGAUGUCUUUAGAUCUAAAUGCUUUUGUUUUGUAGCUGUUUUCAUUCUUUUUUAUUGCUGGAAAUGUUAAAUUGCACCUGAAUCACGUAUGCCCACAACCAAACCACACAAGUGAAAAUAAGGAGUGCCACAUCUGAGCUAUAGAGCCUUCAGAGACCUGAUGUGGUUUGGUGAGGAUACCAUGUUUUUAUUUUGCUUAAAGGCAGAAUUGUGUCUGGGAGAUGUUUGAUGAAAACAUGUUUGUAAAAUGUAUUUACUUGAGGAACAUUUCAAAAACCGAUGACUGAAGUGCUAUCGAUCAUACCACUGUAAAUAUAAAUUCCAGAAAUGACAAAUAUCUGAAUUAACACGUAUAGAGUCCAGCCAAGAUAAACAUGUGAACAGUGCAUCAAACUCAUUACUUCCGUGUUUCCGUCCAAAUCAAUGGCGACGCGUGUAGAUACCGUCAUGGCAAAUGCUGUUGUUUUUCGCUGUUCUGUUAUGUUGUUAGUGGAAGGGCUAAGGAGAGAGACUGCCAUCAUCAACACUAGCAGACUUCUAGGCAGUGUGAUGUCUUGAUCCACAGACACAGCCACACAACUGCGGGAUAUCAACAGGAAGUAAGACCUGCGUGAUGCCCAACACACUGAGAGGAAACCACUGAGGACGCUCCUCCAGUCUCUCUCAUGCUCAUGUCAUACACCUGUGGCCCCUCACUGUACAGAUCGCUUGGCCACUCGGAAGCAGAGAGUAUAUAUAAAUAUAUAGAUAAGAGAAUAAACUAAGAAAAAAAGGAGAGAAAGUCUAUUUUUAAGGUUUUAACUAUUUGAAGGUGUCGUUUCUCCCCCCCACCCCCCUCAGCUUUGCUAAAUUCAACCUUUUUUCUUCUUAUUUCAUGGUUCAGUUUGGUUUGGUUUAAUGUCCAAACAAUGUGUUUUGCACUUUUUUUUUCCGUUUGUUCCAUUUGGUAUGCUUGUUUCUCAGCACUGAAUACGUUGUAUUGUGUUAACUGUGCCAAUUAAACAUUCAGAAAACAAA